Molecule: long non-coding RNA, 233 nt
Filed under: Capsicum annuum
Lineage: Eukaryota; Viridiplantae; Streptophyta; Magnoliopsida; Solanales; Solanaceae
Description: long non-coding RNA (CANN_LNC005028)
Source: RNAcentral
UUAUUUUCAACUAAUACUACUCACCUCAAUAACUCGGAUACAACUAAAAUGACUGACUACUCAAGGACAUAGAACUAAAAUUACUUACUACAUAAGGACUUCAUAGGUUAAAUUGAUACAAGUAAGAAUACCGGCGAGGAGAAUAUAUUAGAAAAUAUUUCUUAUGUCAAGAAGAAUCUGAACUAGGAGAAAAUUAAUGAGGAUAUUGGUUCAUCAGGUUCGUCUUUGCUUCC